Molecule: ribosomal RNA, 460 nt
Filed under: uncultured bacterium
Lineage: Bacteria
Description: partial 16S ribosomal RNA
Rfam family: Bacterial small subunit ribosomal RNA
Source: RNAcentral
CCUACGGGAGGCAGCAGUGAGGAAUAUUGGUCAAUGGACGAGAGUCUGAACCAGCCAAGUAGCGUGAAGGAUGACUGCCCUAUGGGUUGUAAACUUCUUUUAUAAAGGAAUAAAACGAGGCACGUGUGCCUUUUUGCAUGUACUUUAUGAAUAAGGAUCGGCUAACUCCGGUCCAGCAGCCGCGGUAAUACGGAGGAUCCGAGCUUUAUCCGGAUUUAUUUGGUUUAAAGGGAGCGGAGAUGGGUUGUUAAGUCAGUUGUGAAAGUUUGCGGCUCAACCGUAAAAUUGCAAUUGAUACUGGCAGUCUUGAGUACAGUUGAGGUAGGCGGAAUGCGUGGUGUAGCGGUGAAAUGCUUAGAUAUCACGAAGAACCCCGAUUGCGAAGGCAGCUUACUAACCUGUGACUGACAUUGAUGCUCGAAAGUGUGGGUAUCAAACAGGAUUAGAUACCCGUGUAGUC